GAUGAAGAACGCAGCGAAAUGCGAUAAGUAAUGUGAAUUGCAUAAUUCAGUGAAUCAUCGAAUCUUUGAACUCACAUUGCGCCCGCCAGUAUUCUGGCGGGCAUGCCUGUUCGAGCGUCAUUUCAACCAUCAAGCCCUGCUUGCGUUGGGGUCCUGCGGCUGCCCGCAGGCCCUGAAAACCAGUGGCGGGCUCGCUAGUCACACCGAGCGCAGUAAUACAUCUCGCUUUGGGCGUGCGGCGGGUUCUUGCCGUUAAACACCCCCUUUUUACCAAGGUUGACCUCGGAUCAGGUAGGAAUACCCGCUGAACUUAAGCAUAUCAAUAAGCGGAGGA
Molecule: unclassified non-coding RNA, 334 nt
Filed under: soil metagenome
Description: partial contains 5.8S ribosomal RNA, internal transcribed spacer 2, and large subunit ribosomal RNA
Rfam family: 5.8S ribosomal RNA (bases 1-120)
Source: RNAcentral